UACGAAGGGGGCUAGCGUUGCUCGGAAUGACUGGGCGUAAAGGGCGCGUAGGCGGCUUGCAUAGUCGGAUGUGAAAUUCCUGGGCUUAACCUGGGGGCUGCAUACGAGACGUAUGGGCUUGAGUGCGGAAGAGGGUCGUGGAAUUCCCAGUGUAGAGGUGAAAUUCGUAGAUAUUGGGAAGAACACCGGUGGCGAAGGCGGCGACCUGGUCCGUGACUGACGCUGAGGCGCGAAAGCGCGGGGAGCAAACAGG
RNAcentral lists this ribosomal RNA (253 nucleotides) under uncultured bacterium. RNAcentral's name for it is "partial 16S ribosomal RNA". It matches the Rfam family "Bacterial small subunit ribosomal RNA", at positions 524 to 776 of the family's 1533-position model. The record is from RNAcentral.